Long non-coding RNA from Quercus lobata, 1851 nucleotides. RefSeq lists it as uncharacterized. The transcript has 5 exons. Lineage: Eukaryota; Viridiplantae; Streptophyta; Magnoliopsida; Fagales; Fagaceae. The record is from RefSeq and is a predicted model, not a curated record.
AACUAAAAAAACACAAGCGAUACAGAGAAAAGGAAGGAGAGAAAAAAAAAGCUUGCGAUACAGGGGAGAGACAGAGUUCGUGCGGCCGCCCAUCACCAUCCCUUGCCAGACUUAGACCACCGGAACCAGCACCGGUAACCUAAAGGUGCAUGCAGGAAUUGAGAUGCGGAGAUAGAGAGAACUACCACCGGUAUUUGGGUUACAUUUGGUUUGGAUUUUAAAAGAGAAGAGAGGCUACGGUGAUUUUCUCUUAAUGGGAUUUCGCCAGAAUCAUCUGACUGUUGGGAAGACAAUACGGUUUAAUUUUUUUGUUUGUUGAGAAACCUCCCCCUUUGCAGUUGGUUGGCCAAUCAUUAAUUCUAUUAAGGAUUGGAUUUAGAAUGUCAGGGAAAUCAUGGUCCAAUCCCAAUACUUUUUUGCAGUGCAUUUGCAUCAAGUAGAAUUCAUGUAUGUAAUUUCAGCCAAUCUGAUGUAGAUAUGGGAAUAAGGAAAAAGUAUACCACUGAUAAUAUAGCAGUCCUAUAGGUAAGUGCUCUGCUUAUAAUCCUUUUGGAGAUUACUUUAUGGGGAUAUUUAGAUUUUCUUAAGAAUUUUGAUUCAUGGGAACUGUUUUAGUUAAGGUGGUGAUGUCAUUGUUACAAAAAGAGGAAAAUGAAGUUUAUAAGAGGCCUAAAUCUGGGAUAAAGAAAGGGUAUUUCUUUCCCCAUUGUUAGGAAGUUUGAAUAUGCAAAAUAUUGAUAACCUAAUAAAUUUUUGUUAGUUAUGUUGUCACUUUUGUUCAUGUCAUCAACCUAAAAGGUAUAAGGUACUGUGAUUGAUAAAUUAAAGUGCUUCUUAAGAACUUUUUAUACAUUUAUUUUUAUCCUACUUAGUUUCUGAAAAUAUUUUUUUCAUCUAUUCUUUGUUUGCCAAUAUCUGUUUCUUUCUAAUGGUCAAGGUUUCAGUGAGUUAUUUGUUAAAGUUAUAUAUUGUGUUGAAUUCUUUUUUAUUUUAUUUAUCAUUUGCAUCUCUUUUUAAAAAGAAAAGUUUUGCACAUCACUUUUUAAAAAAGAUAGCAUCCUAAGGCCGUGGAAGGUAAUUAGAAGAAGCCAAUAUAUAUAUAUAUAUUUUGGCAGUGUAUGCCUAAGUUUUUGUUGGCUUGGUUCCUUAUUUCUUUGCCAUAGUCAAACAUUCUAUAUAUUUGUUUUUGCUUUUUAUAUUUUUUGUUGGCUUGAUGAGCGCAGGGGAAAGUUUCCAAAUUUUUAUUAAACUUGCAAGAUUAUGAAUACCCACACACCAUUUUGAUAUACAAUUCUUUCUCUCUCUCUCUGAAUUCAGUUAUGCCAGAUUAUUUUUGUCCAAGAUCAGUAUUAUGCGGAAGCAGCAUGUUCAUUCGUAUCAAAAAGAGUGGUGGAUUGGGUUCCAAUAACUUUCUUUUUGGGGACCUGAAUUUGAAGCAAAGAAAUAGAAAGAGAAUGUGUAAUACAGAAUUCAAUUUAAUUUUCAGUUUUUGUUUUCCAUCCUACCUGUUCUGUUUUUGAAGAGUGAUUGAAAUGGUAGAACUUUGAAAUCUGAAAGUGUAAUGUUUUUUAUACAAAGUUGAUUAUCUCUUAGAUUUCAGUUAAUAUUCCACUCUAUCUGCAUAAUUACUAGGGUUAGAUACUUUAAACUUUUAUAUUAAUGGUAGAUAAUUGUAGAUAGUGUAUGCAGCAGCCAAUGUGGCCGAUUGCAGAUACUUAUUUUUAUUGAGAAAGUGAUUUAUAUAUAGAUACUUUAUUAGUCAUUAUGAAAAUGAAAUAAUGACUAAAAAUUUGCUAAAAAUUCUGCUACACCAAUAAAAUAUGGACAUCUAAUCAUGGUUAAAGACCAUUU